GGGCCCGUGGCGUAGUGGUAGCGCAACAUUAGGGCGCGAAACCCGAAUCGUGGGUUCAAAUCCCACCGGGCCCA
RNAcentral lists this transfer RNA (74 nucleotides) under Thermoprotei archaeon. RNAcentral describes it as "tRNA-Ser". It matches the Rfam family "tRNA". From Rfam's summary of the family: Transfer RNA (tRNA) molecules are approximately 80 nucleotides in length. Lineage: Archaea; Thermoproteati; Thermoproteota; Thermoprotei. The record is from RNAcentral.